Molecule: ribosomal RNA, 490 nt
Filed under: uncultured bacterium
Lineage: Bacteria
Description: partial 16S ribosomal RNA
Rfam family: Bacterial small subunit ribosomal RNA
Source: RNAcentral
UGGGGAAUAUUGGACAAUGGGGGCAACCCUGAUCCAGCCAUGCCGCGUGAGUGAUGAAGGCCUUCGGGUUGUAAAGCUCUUUUGGCGGGGACGAUGAUGACGGUACCCGCAGAAUAAGCCCCGGCUAACUUCGUGCCAGCAGCCGCGGUAAGACGAAGGGGGCUAGCGUUGUUCGGAAUUACUGGGCGUAAAGCGAGUGUAGGCGGUUGCCGUAGUCAGGUGUGAAAGCCUUGAGCUCAACUCAAGAAAUGCACUUGAUACUGGGUGACUAGAGGACCGGAGAGGAUAGUGGAAUUCCCAGUGUAGUGGUGAAAUACGUAGAGAUUGGGAAGAACACCAGUGGCGAAGGCGGCUAUCUGGACGGUUACUGACGCUAAGACUCGAAAGCGUGGGGAGCAAACAGGAUUAGAUACCCUGGUAGUCCACGCCGUAAACGAUGGGUGCUAGACGUUGGCGAGCUUGCUCGUCAGUGUCGCAGCUAACGCGUUAA